AUCAAGUUUGUUCAAAAUUGUCGAUAGAUUACGGUGUUUCCAGUGUAGGCUUUUGGAUCCAGUACAUUUCACAUUUUGAAUGCCCUGAUCCAGUUUCCAUCGAAAUUGUCAAAAGUCUAUUUUUGAAAAUAUACUUUUGGUCUUUGGUAAUUAUUCAUAUUGGAAGAACACCCACAAAAUUAGUCAGGAACUCAUUUAUUUUGGAGCGGUGCUAAAAGGAAACAACUGGGCCUCAACAUUAAAAAUGUAUCCUUUUCAAGCUCACGCCUCGUGCAAUUGGUCUCUCAUUUGCUGGCUUCCAAAUUAUGCAAAUGUCUUAUGAAUAAUAUUGAGAAACACGAAUCAUGUGCAAAUUCAAAUGAAUGUGAUUAAAUAGAAUAUUAUUAUCGUUGCUGACGUCUGGCAGUUGUGAUGGUUCUUAUAUGCCUGUUUAUUUUGAGUGCGCGACCUGAGGCAAUGCAUUGUGCACUGUACGUUGCGUUAUCUAAUCAAAGCCCCCGAUAGACACCCAUUUGCAAACAUACAUACAUAUAUCGUUAUGAAUAUUUACAUGUAUAUGUUGUCUUUGGGGUCAGAUGCCCUCGUCUGCCUCUCUUCGUACACAUAAAAAAUAAAAGCAGAAAUUUUGUUAUUUCAACU
Drosophila virilis is the source of this 639-nucleotide non-coding RNA. The record is from RefSeq and is a predicted model, not a curated record. Lineage: Eukaryota; Metazoa; Arthropoda; Insecta; Diptera; Drosophilidae.